GCCUGGUUAGCUCAGUUAGUAGAGCCCUCCACCAGUAAUGGAGAGGUCCCGGGUUCGAUACCCGGACCAGGCA
Molecule: transfer RNA, 73 nt
Filed under: Ixodes scapularis (black-legged tick)
Lineage: Eukaryota; Metazoa; Arthropoda; Arachnida; Ixodida; Ixodidae
Description: tRNA-Thr
Source: RNAcentral